AGGGCCACCGGGGCCACAUGGAGUGGCUGGGUACCCAGGUAAAGAUGGACCACCUGGACCCAUUGGACCUCCAGCAGAUAAAGGUGACAAGGGACUGAGAGGAGCCAGUGGACUGAAGGGAGCUGCUGGUAUCGAUGGGCUCAAUGGGUGAAACUGGGCCAGUCGGACCAGCAGGAAGCAAAGGCUUGUCUGACAGAACUGUCGGUUGUAGGGUGAGAAGGGUAUCGAAGGAUCUUUGGGUGAUCGUGGCUCAAAAGGAAUCCAAGGAGAG
This is a long non-coding RNA of Puntigrus tetrazona (Sumatra barb), 271 nucleotides long. RefSeq lists it as uncharacterized. The transcript is spliced from 5 exons. NCBI's taxonomy places the organism in Eukaryota, Metazoa, Chordata, Actinopteri, Cypriniformes, Cyprinidae. The record is from RefSeq and is a predicted model, not a curated record.